This 253-nucleotide ribosomal RNA is filed under the name uncultured bacterium. Its description in RNAcentral is "partial 16S ribosomal RNA". It matches the Rfam family "Bacterial small subunit ribosomal RNA", at positions 524 to 776 of the family's 1533-position model. The record is from RNAcentral.
UACAGAGGGUGCAAGCGUUGUUCGGAAUUACUGGGCGUAAAGCGCGUGUAGGCGGUUUGGUAAGUCAGACGUGAAAUCCCUUGGCUCAACUGAGGAACUGCGUCUGAUACUGCUAGACUAGAGUGUCGGAGGGGAUGGUGGAAUUCCUGGUGUAGAGGUGAAAUUCGUAGAGAUCAGGAGGAACACCUGUGGCGAAGGCGACCAUCUGGAAGACAACUGACGCUGAGACGCGAAAGCGUGGGUAGCAAACAGG